GACCAGAAUUGCGGUUCCAAUCAAUUCUGCCAGGACAGCCAUGGACUUGUCCCACGUACUGUCUUCCUCCUUCUUCUUUAUCCCUAAGAAAAAGUAAAUGUACAUACACCGACUUCCGAUAAAAGGCACUCGUCCAAUUGUAAGAGACAUCUAUAUCAAAGUAUCUUUAUAUAAGUGAUAAUAAACUCAAGCAUGUUUCGCGAAGUACUUCUAAAUUCGAGAUACCGAUUUUUUAAUGGAAAUGACAUCUCGAGUUGUACACCUUGAUACGAAGAUAUUUUUUUCGGUAUCGGUAUUAGCACAAGAUAUGGGAUACACGAGAGAUUGUGUACGGCACUCUCGUGCCUUUGUGAAAAAGUACGUGCGUUCUCAUCAUCGAUCUCGUAAACGUGCCCCAGCGGCGCUACAUACAUUAAUUAAAAGACAACUAUUGUAUACACAAUCGGAGAGUCCAACGGCGGCGUAUCUUUAUUUUCUGCGCAUUACACAAGCCGAAGAGACAUUUAUUUACUGAAUGUAUAAUCGAGAGAAGUCAAGAAGACGCGACGGUUCAACCCGUUGAGUGCAGCCGUGUAACGACGACGUUUCGUUUCCGAAGCAGAUAAUACACGUAACGACGAUGGUAACAUACACGUACGCAGGGUGCCUUCAGCCUCUCCUUCGCCGACUGUAUUGCACUAUUGGAUCUGAACGUGAUGCCGAUACUUUUGGACUUUCUGGCG
Long non-coding RNA from Wasmannia auropunctata (little fire ant), 722 nucleotides. RefSeq lists it as uncharacterized. The record is from RefSeq and is a predicted model, not a curated record. The transcript has 4 exons. NCBI's taxonomy places the organism in Eukaryota, Metazoa, Arthropoda, Insecta, Hymenoptera, Formicidae.